This 31-nucleotide non-coding RNA is filed under the name Climacostomum virens. Lineage: Eukaryota; Ciliophora; Heterotrichea; Heterotrichida; Climacostomidae. The record is from RNAcentral.
UCCCUUUUAAACAGCAGCAGGAGAAAAUGCA